UGGGGAAUAUUGCACAAUGGGCGAAAGCCUGAUGCAGCAACGCCGCGUGAGUGAUGAAGGCCUUCGGGUUGUAAAGCUCUGUCUUUUGGGACGAUAAUGACGGUACCAAAGGAGGAAGCCACGGCUAACUACGUGCCAGCAGCCGCGGUAAUACGUAGGUGGCAAGCGUUGUCCGGAUUUACUGGGCGUAAAGGAUGCGUAGGCGGAUUUUUUAAGUGAGAUGUGAAAUACCCGGGCUUAANUUGGUGCUGCAUUUCAAACUGGGAAUCUGGUGCGGGAGAGGAAAUGGAAUUUCCCUAGUGUAGCGGUGAAAAUGCGUAGAGAUUAGGAAGAACACCAGUGGCGAAGGCGAUUCUCUGGACCGUAACUGACGCUGAGGCAUGAAAGCGUGGGUAGCAAACAGGAUUAGAUACCCUGGUAGUCCACGCCGUAAACGAUGAGUACUAGGUGUAGGAGGUAUCGACCCCUUCUGUGCCGCAGUUAACACAAUAAGUACUCCGCCUGGGAAGUACGAUCGCAAGA
Molecule: ribosomal RNA, 522 nt
Filed under: uncultured bacterium
Lineage: Bacteria
Description: partial 16S ribosomal RNA
Rfam family: Bacterial small subunit ribosomal RNA
Source: RNAcentral